GUAUAAUCAGAAAAAUAACAUUGUAAAAGAAAGCUCUCUAAACCACUUGUGGCCUGGUUGAAUGGGGCCAUAAACUAUCAUCAUAUUUAUCUUUCUCAUUCAAUACAGUCCAUCUGCCUGGAUCUUUACUUGGCACAGAUUCCUUGGACAUUAACUUGAGGGGAUGGAUGGUUUAUGACUAAGAACAAUACAGCCCCCAGUCUUUCCACAUUUCAUUAUCACAUCAUGGAAAAGUGGGACCUAUUUGAAUAAUACUAAACCAUUCAGACUCCAGAGAGAGCCCUGAAGAUCUGGGUGCGUCCUCCAGAGCCCUAGCCAAGUCAGACACAGAGCAUUCCUCUUUCUUCUGUGAAGUUCACAUUCAGCAAGGCACGACCUUAAAUGAAAAAUCAACUAUGUGGGGCAGAACAAACUCCGAGAGCAUGGUGAAGACUUAGCAAGCAGCACUGACUGGAGAACGACUUAGCAGAAAGAAUGCAGAGCUAGAGCGGAUCAUGGCAACUAUGCAAUAAACAACUUGAAGAAUCAUUCCGUCAAGUGUGGGAACCAGAGUGGAAAGAUUGUCUUCAGCCUGCAGCCAACACCAGUCACCACCUAUCAGAGAAAUGCAUCCUGUGAGUACCACAUUCCAGCGUCUCUGGAAGACCUCCAUUUCCUCCCCAGGCUGGGAGAGGCUCAGGCACCUUGGCUCUCUUGGCAGAAAGGCAGCUCCUAGGUGGAACUUGGGCAGUGCCCUCUGCCCUCAUAGCUGUGUCUGCAGGCUGUACCUGUGGCAUCCUUGGCCAGCCCACUCACGCCAAGGCAGUGUGUGCCCCACCCCAACCCAGCCAAGCCAUCUGCAAGAAGCAAUAAUCUCCAUCCCUCUGCUAGUUGGACUGUAGUUCUCAUAGGACUGGCCACAGCUGACAUUCCAGAAGCUGAGGGAAGAAAGAGCCUUAGAAGAUAAGUAAACACGUAAGACCUCGAUUCUCUGCAGGAAGAGGUCAUUACACCUCGGUGUGUUUUCUGUCAGGCAUUCAUGCAGUUGUUGCAUGUCCAAGGGCUGCUGGGAACACUUCAAAAACCCAGAGAAUCAAGCGCUACAAGGUAACAGUUGCUGUUAAUAAGGGGUACCAUAGCACUUUGUGCUCACCCUGCAGGAGCUGUGGAGCGUCACCACUCACUCACACCCCAGGGGAGGAACUUGGGACCGAGAAAAAUCUAGGAAUCACUGGGCAGCAAAAUAAAAAUGUCACCACACUGUAUAGAUGGCCUAUAAAAAGGAGCAGAGUGCGGAAGGAAGGAUGCAGGAGGCUGGCUUGACUGAUCGCUGGCAGAGGCUUUCCUAGCUGCAGCCUGCUGUUACCACCCACGGAUGUUCCUCCCGGGACAUCGCUGAGACAUAAGACACGUACAGAGCCCUUGUUAAUAAACAGACUUGGCACUACAGCACGGCUCUGCUAAGCCUUGUGCCUAUUUGCGUGGUGAUUUACUAAAUAUGAAAAUAAAGCUGUUCCUUAAAGAACCCCCAACUUUUCCAUUCCAAUGCAUUUUUAUCUAAAUCUAGAGGAUUCGCAGUGCUGGCAGUGGGCGGCACUCACUCUUACGUUAGCUGAGAACCGAAAUGCAGGUUCCCAUCACCAAUCGGAGAAUAAAAUUCUCUAUUAGACUGUGGGGCACGUAGGUGAAAGAAUGCUAAUCACCAAACACAGAAUCAUAGGGACACUGUUGGUCACUAAGGGAGCCAGGCUCCCCAAGGCAGCUAUGAGCUGAGCUCUCAGACUCCAGGUACAGUGAGGAAGGCUUAUUAUAGA
Mus musculus (house mouse) is the source of this 1793-nucleotide long non-coding RNA. RefSeq annotates it as predicted gene, 30986. The transcript is spliced from 4 exons. NCBI's taxonomy places the organism in Eukaryota, Metazoa, Chordata, Mammalia, Rodentia, Muridae. The record is from RefSeq and is a predicted model, not a curated record.